This is a long non-coding RNA of Cyprinus carpio carpio, 741 nucleotides long. NCBI's taxonomy places the organism in Eukaryota, Metazoa, Chordata, Actinopteri, Cypriniformes, Cyprinidae. The record is from Ensembl.
UGUGUGUGUGUGUGUGUGUGUGCGUGCGCGCACUUUUACAUCAAAGUAGGUGAGGCCGCUUAAAUUACCUGCUCAUUAUGAGGCUGGAGAAAAAUUGCUCUUCCGUGAUGUUUAGAGAAGCGGCAAUCUAUGGAUAAUGAUGCGAGCCGACAGAAUUCUGGCUUAUGCAGUCUGUCAGUCUGCGAGCUCAUUUAUCCACCGUGGUCAUGCAAGAUCCCAUCACACCUUAUAGAGUUGCCUUUGUCAGGUGAUACAUGAACAAGAGUUCACCAAACCACUACGGGAAUUUCCAUCAGCAAAACCUCACAGAUACACUCAUCUGUGUUUCACAUUUUUAACUCUGUCUGAUCCGGUGCCUUGUUUAUUGUUCCGCGAAGGUUUUUGGAAAUGCUUGCCCAAGGCAUGCUAUAUGCUCUGAAGACAAACUUCACCUUUUCUGUUAAAAGACUCCACACACCCUCCAUUAGACAAUGCAUAAUGUUUACUGAACCUGUUGUAAUAAUUGUGAAAUCAUUACACAAUUAUUUGUGAAGUGGAUGUGGAACAACAUGUUAUAUACUUAUGAAAAUGAGAAUGACUAUGAAACAUUUUAAAGUCUUCAAGCUGAAGUUCAUGGCCUUGUCAGUUUCAAAACAUCAUAGUCCAUUUCCCUGCUUACAUAAGCUAAUUCACCAAGAAAGUUUGUGGCUACUGAGCAGACAAAUGUUCUUUGUAAAGUGAACCUGCCAGACAUACAUAAAA